This 253-nucleotide ribosomal RNA is filed under the name uncultured bacterium. RNAcentral describes it as "partial 16S ribosomal RNA". It matches the Rfam family "Bacterial small subunit ribosomal RNA", at positions 524 to 776 of the family's 1533-position model. The record is from RNAcentral.
UACGAAGGUGGCAAGCGUUGUUCGGAUUUACUGGGCGUAAAGGGAGCGUAGGUGGUGGGGUAAGCCCCGCGGGAAAGCUCCAGGCUUAACCUGGAAAGGUCGCGGGGGACUGCUCCGCUUGAGGACGGGAGAGGAGCGCGGAAUUCCCGGUGUAGCGGUGAAAUGCGUAGAGAUCGGGAGGAAGGCCGGUGGCGAAGGCGGCGCUCUGGAACGGCCCUGACACUGAGGCUCGAAAGCGUGGGGAGCAAACAGG